AUUAAGUUUCCCUUCGGGGCAAAGUGACAGGUGGUGCAUGGUUGUCGUCAGCUCGUGUCGUGAGAUGUUGGGUUAAGUCCCGCAACGAGCGCAACCCUUGUGUUUAGUUACUAACAUUCAGUUGAGGACUCUAAACAGACUGCCCUUGAAAGAGGGAGGAAGGUGGGGAUGACGUCAAAUCAUCAUGCCCCUUACGACCUGGGCUACACACGUGCUACAAUGGUCUGUACAAAGGGUUGCGAAGUAGUGAUACCAAGCUAAUCUCAAAAAACAGAUCUCAGUUCGGAUUGCAGGCUGCAACUCGCCUGCAUGAAGUCGGAGUUGCUAGUAAUCGUGAAUCAGAAUGUCACGGUGAAUGCGUUCCCGGGCCUUGUACACACCGCCCGUCACACCACGAGAGUUGGUAACACCCGAAGCCAGUGAGCUAACCUAUGGAGGCAGCUGUCGAAGGUGGGACCAGUAAUUGGGGUGAAGUCGUAACAAGGUAGCCGUAUCGGAAGGUGCGGC
This 507-nucleotide ribosomal RNA is filed under the name uncultured bacterium. Its description in RNAcentral is "bacterial SSU rRNA". It matches the Rfam family "Bacterial small subunit ribosomal RNA", at positions 1008 to 1518 of the family's 1533-position model. The record is from RNAcentral.